GAUGAACGCUGGCGGCGUGCCUAAUACAUGCAAGUCGAGCGAACAGACGAGGAGCUUGCUCCUCUGACGUUAGCGGCGGACGGGUGAGUAACACGUGGAUAACCUACCUAUAAGACUGGGAUAACUUCGGGAAACCGGAGCUAAUACCGGAUAAUAUAAUGAACCGCAUGGUUCAAUAGUGAAAGACGGUUUUGCUGUCACUUAUAGAUGGAUCCGCGCCGCAUUAGCUAGUUGGUAAGGUAACGGCUUACCAAGGCAACGAUGCGUAGCCGACCUGAGAGGGUGAUCGGCCACACUGGAACUGAGACACGGUCCAGACUCCUACGGGAGGCAGCAGUAGGGAAUCUUCCGCGAUGGGCGAAAGCCUGACGGAGCAACGCCGCGUGAGUGAUGAAGGUCUUCGGAUCGUAAAACUCUGUUAUUAGGGAAGAACAAAUGUGUAAGUAACUAUGCACGUCUUGACGGUACCUAAUCAGAAAGCCACGGCUAACUACGUG
This 497-nucleotide ribosomal RNA is filed under the name uncultured bacterium. RNAcentral describes it as "partial 16S ribosomal RNA". It matches the Rfam family "Bacterial small subunit ribosomal RNA", at positions 28 to 507 of the family's 1533-position model. The record is from RNAcentral.